GUGCAUUCUGUUGAUGCAGACGGCAUGAAAACGGAAACAAGAAGUAUGCCGGCUCACUGUGCUGCAUACAAUUACACACUACGUCGUACGAUUGAGACAAGGAAACUUGGAAUGACUUUUCAUAGGUUUCCCAGAGACUAUGGGUUGAGGAGGAAUUGGAAGUUUGUCGGCUUAGACCUGGUGUCAUUCCAUCAGUGUUAAACUUCCCGGCUCAUCUUGGAAGAGUACGUGCCAGAAAGACCACGACCAAGCAGCCUUGAGAUCUUAGACAGCGUCUCCCUGAGACCAAAGAACUACAGACUCUUCACAACCUGCUCAAACUCUUGGUACAGGACCUCACCACACGGGUCAAGAAGGUUUCUGUCUCAUUUCUACUCUGAAGCUCACCUUCUCCUGCUCAAACUGCUGACAAAUGUUUCUGCUGCUCUAAAGUCUGCUCUCCAGAACUUCCUAAAAACUCUCAAAGUCUCUUCUGCUGCAGGUUGCUUUGUAGAACUGUUCCAGAAAACCUCACUAAACCACAUGGAGGGGCCUCAAGAUAGUCGUCCAAAUGAAAC
Amphiprion ocellaris (clown anemonefish) is the source of this 557-nucleotide long non-coding RNA. Lineage: Eukaryota; Metazoa; Chordata; Actinopteri; Pomacentridae. The record is from Ensembl.